CGCAUGCGCUAUUUCUGACCUUCACCUUCUGCAUCCAACAUGGCGCAAAGUUUGACAGUGUUUUUCGUUGUAGUGCUCUUUACUAUAGUCUUUGGGAUGAAAGAUGGCAGUGACCAGUUCUCAGUUCCUAUGACUGGAGAUAUUCCGUUAUUGGAGUUGCUUCCUGAGAUACCAAGAACAGUGGAUGCCUACCCUCAACAGUUUUCUUUGGAUUCAACUGAUGUAAGUAUAAGUAAAUCCUACAUCUGAGCCAUGGUUUCAAGGGUAAAGUACCCGAAAAGACGAUGUGUGUACCAAAUUGAUGCAUCAACUCCUGCAAGGAAAUUUGUUGGUUUUUGUGAAAUAAAAGAGUUUAUAUUUUCUCAAGAUUAAUGGAUGUUAUGAGAAGACUUAAAACAUGUAUUGAUUAUACAGAUUUAAUAAACAGUUGUUAUCAUUGCAUACCAGUCAGCAUGGACAGGGUUAAAGGGACGGGUUCACGAUUGUUGAAUGAAAUAUUUUUCAUUUUUGAUGUUAACCAUUAAAAACAUAACUCAUUUAAUGUUGACAUCCAAAAUUUUGACCUUCUGAAUGCAAGAAUAAAAGAAAUAUUUUAGCCUUAGAUAUGUGUUAUGUAAACAAAGACUUGAGUCUUUUAAUGAAUACAAACAAACCUAUGAAUUAUUAAUUUUGUAAGAAUGCUUAAAAUGUGAAAGAUAUAAUAAACUUGUAUCUAUAUCCA
Ostrea edulis (European flat oyster) is the source of this 721-nucleotide long non-coding RNA. RefSeq lists it as uncharacterized. The record is from RefSeq and is a predicted model, not a curated record. The transcript is spliced from 5 exons. Lineage: Eukaryota; Metazoa; Mollusca; Bivalvia; Ostreida; Ostreidae.